RNAcentral lists this small nucleolar RNA (106 nucleotides) under Capsicum annuum. RNAcentral describes it as "Plant small nucleolar RNA R71". It matches the Rfam family "Plant small nucleolar RNA R71". Rfam says of the family: R71 is a member of the C/D box family of snoRNAs containing the C (UGAUGA) and D (CUGA) box motifs. Multiple nearly identical copies of this snoRNA have been identified in Arabidopsis, and it is thought to function as a 2'-O-ribose methylation guide for 18S ribosomal RNA. The record is from Rfam by way of RNAcentral. Lineage: Eukaryota; Viridiplantae; Streptophyta; Magnoliopsida; Solanales; Solanaceae.
UGAUGAUGAUGAGGGAAAUUUCUGAGCAUACUUUUAAAUCUCUCUCAAGCUUGGAGAGAUUUUCUUCUUCUUUCUGUGUGAAACUUAGAAUCUCGCUUCUCAAACG